GAUGAACGCUGGCGGCGUGCCUAAUACAUGCAAGUCGAGCGAACUGACGAGAAGCUUGCUUCUCUGAUGUUAGCGGCGGACGGGUGAGUAACACGUGGAUAACCUACCUAUAAGACUGGGAUAACUUCGGGAAACCGUAGCUAAUACCGGAUAAUAUUUUGAACCGCAUUGUUCAAUAGUGAAAUACGUUUUUGCUUUCUCUUAUAGAUGGAUCCGCGCUGCAUUAGCUAGUUGGUAAGGUAACGGCUUACCAAGGCAACGAUGCGUAGCCGACCUGAGAGGGUGAUCGGACACACUGGAACUGAGACACGGUCCAGACUCCUACGGGAGGCAGCAGUAGGGAAUCUUCCGCAAUGGGCGAAAGCGUGACGGAGCAACGCCGCGUGAGUGAUGAAGGUCUUCGGAUCGUAAAACUCUGUUAUUAGGGAAGAACAAAUGUGUAAGUAACUAUGCACAUCUUGACGGUACCUAAUCAGAAAGCCACGGCUAACUACGUG
RNAcentral lists this ribosomal RNA (497 nucleotides) under uncultured bacterium. Its description in RNAcentral is "partial 16S ribosomal RNA". It matches the Rfam family "Bacterial small subunit ribosomal RNA", at positions 28 to 507 of the family's 1533-position model. The record is from RNAcentral.